RNAcentral lists this non-coding RNA (119 nucleotides) under Rhodococcus sp. (in: high G+C Gram-positive bacteria). RNAcentral describes it as "Rhodococcus sp. SAM-IV sequence". It matches the Rfam family "SAM (S-adenosyl methionine) riboswitch aptamer". From Rfam's summary of the family: SAM-IV is a mRNA element that regulates gene expression via direct sensing of S-adenosylmethionine (SAM or AdoMet). SAM-IV riboswitches share conserved nucleotide positions with the previously described SAM-I riboswitches sequence analysis and molecular recognition experiments suggest that SAM-I and SAM-IV riboswitches share similar ligand binding sites, but have different scaffolds. Lineage: Bacteria; Bacillati; Actinomycetota; Actinomycetes; Mycobacteriales; Nocardiaceae. The record is from RNAcentral.
GUUCACGAGUGGCAGCUGUCGGUACCUGGCCGGCUGCCCGGCAACCCCGUCUCCAUCGACUGUGGGUGCCCCAGGGGAAGAACCGGUUCGCGGUGACCACCGGCGGACAAGUCGAUGGA